UACGUAGGCAGCAAGCGUUGUUCGGAAUUACUGGGCGUAAAGAGUGUGUAGGCGGUGCUCUAAGUUCGGUGUGAAAUCUCCCGGCUUAACUGGGAGGGUGCGCCGGAAACUGGAGUGCUUGAGCGCGGGAGAGGAAAGCGGAAUUCCUGGUGUAGCGGUGAAAUGCGUAGAUAUCAGGAGGAACACCUGUGGUGUAGACGGCUUUCUGGACCGUAACUGACGCUGAGACACGAAAGCGUGGGUAGCAAACAGG
This 253-nucleotide ribosomal RNA is filed under the name uncultured bacterium. Its description in RNAcentral is "partial 16S ribosomal RNA". It matches the Rfam family "Bacterial small subunit ribosomal RNA", at positions 524 to 776 of the family's 1533-position model. The record is from RNAcentral.